AUGGAUGAAGAUGCAUAUCAUGUCAUUCUUUCAGAUGAUGAAGAUGGACAGGAGGAGGAGGUGGAAGACGUCAAUGAAGCAGGCAAACAGAAGCUAACUUCUAAAGUUUGGUUGGAAAUGAAGAAGAUGAGGAUGAAUGGACAAUGGAAAGAAAAGUGUAACUAUUGUCACAAGGAACUUGCUUCAGGACCUAGAGCAGGCACAAAGCAUCUUGCUGCUCAUCUAAAGAUUUGUACUCUCAAGAUGUUGAAGAUGAAGGGAGGCAAAACAUUGAGUCAGCCAUCAUUGAAGAUGAAUGCUAAGGAGGACGGUAACAUUUUUUUGGACAGCUAUACGUUUGAUCAAGAGGUUGCUAGAAGAGAGCUUGGUAACAUGUUGGUGUUGCAUGAGUAUCCACUGUCUAUAGUGGACCAUGCUGGUUUUAGGAAGUUUGUUCAUGCACUUCAACCACUAUUCAAGCCACAUACAAGAACUACGAUCUUGCAAGAUAUUGAGGAAGAUUAUAACCAAGAAAGUAAGAAGGCAAUUGAUUAUAUGACUAUGAACCAAUCUAGGGUUGCUAUCACUACAGAUAUGUGA
Molecule: ribosomal RNA, 579 nt
Filed under: Triticum aestivum (bread wheat)
Lineage: Eukaryota; Viridiplantae; Streptophyta; Magnoliopsida; Poales; Poaceae
Description: partial small subunit ribosomal RNA
Source: RNAcentral